Non-coding RNA from Prunus avium (sweet cherry), 1004 nucleotides. The record is from RefSeq and is a predicted model, not a curated record. Lineage: Eukaryota; Viridiplantae; Streptophyta; Magnoliopsida; Rosales; Rosaceae.
AUUGCUCACCUAUCACCUCUUUAUCACUUUUUCUUUUCUCAGUCUGAAAUCAGUCUAUCUGCUCUCUCUCCUCACUCGCUCUUCAAGUCACAUCGACUUUUUCCGUUCUGUGAAUGAAGUUGCUGAAGAAAAUGAACUUGGGGAGUCCAAUAACCCCAAAAAUUUACUCACCACCUAAACACAGUCCAUUCGAAAUUAGAAAGGAACAGAACCCCGCAAACCCUUAAUUCCCAAAUUAGUUUCACACUUCCGCUCAAAACUCAAACCCUCCGGCGCCGAUCACCUCCUGCCGCCGCAGCAGCCCUUGUGUUGCCGGCGCCGCCCAUAAUUUCAAAUACUUUGGUCGCUGUGUUGAUCUGGUUCUUUUUUUUACAAUGGCUCACGAUAUGUAACAGAGUUUUGCAAGAGGUAACAUUCUAACCUUUGUUUUCUUGUUGGAUAUCAUGAGUUGUAGCAUCUUAUCAUUAUGUUAUAUUGGAACUUUGUAAUAUGUACUUUGCUACUAUGUAGUCGGAUGUACCGGUAUUCGGCUGCCAAUUGAAUGAGUUUUACAACUCUUGGUUCAGCAGCAUCCCUUCCGUUGGGAAAAUAGAUCAGUUGUGGCAUUAAUGUUCUUAAAUAUAGUUCAGAUGUUGAUUUAUGUUUGCGUACCGCCUCUCCAAUCCACUUACCUAUUUUGUCAUAACUGAAAUGCCUUCUUCAUUGCACCCACUGUACCCUCGUUCAUAAUGUGUGGAUUCCUAAGUGCUUGAAUAAGUUGCUUAGCUGUGUUUCAUAAUGUGAGCUUUCAUGUGUUACAAAUUGGAAAGCACCAUAACCACAACAAACAAAUUUUUUGAAGGGUUUACGUUACCUGUCUAUUAACAGUGGUGAUCAUGACAUGGAUAUUCCAUAUGUGGGUAUUAUGGCUUGGAUAGAAUCUAUGAACUUGACUCUUUCAUUGGAAGCCAUUGUUCAUCGACGAACAGGUUGCAGGGUUGAUAUCUAUCUUAUCUUCUUCCUUC